UACGGAGGGUGCGAGCGUUGUUCGGAAUCACUGGGCGUAAAGGGCGUGUAGGCGGUCCGCUAAGUCUGAUGUGAAAGCCCGGGGCUCACCCCCGGAAGUGCAUUGGAAACUGGCGAACUCGAGUCCCGGAGAGGAGAGUGGAAUUCCUGGUGUAGCGGUGAAAUGCGUAGAUAUCAGGAGGAACACCGGUGGCGAAGGCGGCUCUCUGGACGGUGACUGACGCUGAGACGCGAAAGCGUGGGGAGCAAACGGG
Molecule: ribosomal RNA, 253 nt
Filed under: uncultured bacterium
Lineage: Bacteria
Description: partial 16S ribosomal RNA
Rfam family: Bacterial small subunit ribosomal RNA
Source: RNAcentral